AAGAAAUUAAUCAAAAUGUCUAAAACAAUAUCCGCGGAUUACACAUUCAUCCGGAAAAAAGUAAUCAGACGAAGUAGAGUAAAGUUGUCAAGAAACUAUCCUAAUAGUGUUUGUCAAAGAAGACAUGAAUGUAUCAAUCAUCGUUCUCAAGAAAUGUUGCUAUCAAUAAUGACAGACACGGAAAUCGGUAGUGACAUUCGCGCACCAAUUUAUCGUCCUCGAAAGACGUUAAAAAGUGGUAAUAAGAUUUUUAUAAAACCGGACACUCCAUCUCGAUUGAUAUUUUUGACAAGGGAUGAUAAGAGCAAGGCACCACGAAGUGAAAACUGGACAUUUGCUGAAGCACAAAAUCCAGAAGUUCAAUUUAAAUCAAUUGAUAGUCCAUGUAGAGUGAGCUACUGUCGAUGGUAUACGAAGUUGAAGCGAGAAGUUUUGAAAAGCUUGCGAACAAAAGUUUUUCCUGUCAGUGGGAUUCAAGAUUCGGAUGGUGGAUUUUUCGAGAAUUUAGGAACACUGUUAGCAGAAAAAGUUCGAGCUCAAGAACUCGCAGAAGGACCAUUACCAAUAAAAUCAGACAAAAGUGAUGAGGAAGAAGACGUAGUCAGCGAAGGAGGAAGUAUAGAAGAACCAACAGAAGCUUUGCUCGAAUCAGACAGCGACAGAGAUGAAAAUGAACGGGCUCUGGAUAUUGUCAUUGGCUCUGUCGGCUGGAAUAUCGAAGAACUUUACACGGCUCUUGUUUACAUGACGCAACACCAAAUCGGCUAUGAUGUUACAAAUGAGUGCGGACGGGAAGCUUUACUUAAUCAUCUGCAGCAAGCUUUCAAGGUUGACAGUGAAGUGCACUCACAAGUUAUAGAAGAAAUACAAAGUAUGGAGGCGCCAGUAAUGCAUCUCAAUGUCGAAGUAAUAGAAGCUAAAGAGCUUAUUUCGAAAGAUUCAAACGGCAAAAGUGAUCCAUUCUGUGCACUCUACCUCGAAUCAGCACCAACUCGAAGAUAUAACACAGCUGUUAAGACAAUGACGUUGGCGCCAGUUUGGGAGGAACAUUUCGAACUACCGCUUGAAGAUGCUGACAAUGAUACUCUGUGCCUUGAAGUUUGGGAUUUCGAUGCUGCUGAAACGGUACCGGAAAAGAUGAGCAAAGUCAAGGAUGUUAAAGGCGUGCGAGGGUUGGUAAAAUUAGCAAAAGAGAUUGCAGUUACCGCAACCACGGGUAGUCAUGACAACGAAUUCAUUGGUCGUUGCAAGAUUCCGUUGAAAGACAUUCCGGUUACUGGACAUACGACGUGGUAUUCACUUGAAAAGAAGAACAAAUCCAAACGACGUGGUGUUGUAAAACUUAGACUGGCAUUUAGUGCAGAGCAUAAUACUCAAGUAGCAGCGCAGGAACACAGGCAUCUAGUUAGGAUUCUACUUCUUCAUGAACUGGAAACAGAAAAAGUUGAAAAGUACUGCUGGUGUGGUCGUUGGUCUGCUCCAGCAGAAGCCUUGAUUCUUCAGCACAGCGCUCAACGUGGACUGCUGGCGAGAAAUGUCUUUUUGUCGCAAUGGGUUGAAUAUUCUCGGAUUCAUCAGCAGCAUCCGCUUCAUUUUGCUGUUUUCAACAAGGUUGCUGUUGAAUUACUCAGGCCUCUUGAGAAUGGCCUGUUCUCCAAAGAUGAAGAGAAAUUGUUCUGGGAUGCUACGAAGAAAAUUGUCUACUCUUGUUUAAAUAGUAUUAGAAAAAUUAGGAGGCUCUCUGCGGGUGAUAAAAAUGUUAUGACACAAAUGGGCGCUAUUUUGGGAAUUCUAUCAUCAAUUUCUUCACUCAGAAUACCUGAUGACUUUGAUUUGUUUCCUCAAAAAAUGUUCGGCUGGUUUCCUGAAUCCGAAGACACAAAAGUAGAUGUAAUGAAGGUUUUAGAGUACUCCGUAAUCCAAGGUGGAGCAGAAUGGUUUGAUCACAUAUUAAAUAAUAAUACUCCAGCGAGCGAUAGUGACGACGAUGCGCUCAAAUACCAAAUAAAAGUUAUCCAACUGAUUAGAGCAGAUCUUCAGCGUGCAAUGGAAAUUUACGACCGUAUGUUUAUAAAAAAAAUCAACUUUCCUUAUGCUCGGACACUUUACAUAAUGUAUGAAAAGCGAAUCAGUGACAUGUGCAUGGUAAUUAUCGAAGAUGUGUGUCUUCGUCUAAAACGAAUCGAAGUUGAUAGCACUGACGAAGUAGAGCUAACAUUGGGGACAACAUUGUUUGAACUUUAUCUAACUCUCCAGCGAUAUGCUAUGUUAAGUAACAUGUUUUGUCUAGAUGGAAUCGAUCACAUGAAAAUCCAAAGUUACCACGAAUGGUUCCGAGCUGGAGUUUCGCACUGGUUAGAUAUAUCUGUGUACAAAGCAUUGAAGAGGAUUGAAAGGGCUGUUGAAUUCGACACCCUUCAACCAGUUGACUCUAGUGUCCAGUACAGCUCUAGCGCUGUUGAUACUUUGACGAUUUUUUACCAAAUAAAGGUCUUUUGGACUCAAUUAGCUUGGCCAGAUGUCGAAGGCUCUUAUACAUUUAUUGCAAAGAUAAUUGACGACAUAUGCAAAUGCACGAUUUCGUAUGCAGACAUGAUGGCGUCAAAAGCUGAAAAAGUUGAUCAACAGAUCCAGAGCUUGGACAACAAUAGCAGCGUUUAUGAUAAAAAGUUCGAAGUCUCUAACGCUUGGUGCUUUGCUAUUAACAAUAUUGACUACAUCAGAACUUCAAUUGGGCCAUUGACCCACGACUUAGGCCUUCAAGAUAUAAUCGACAGCUUGAGUGAGAACAAAACUCAGCAAGAAGCUGAUCGCUGUCGACAAACUCUGGAGCUUCUUAUCAACAACACGAUGGACACUGUGAAGAACAAAAUCAUUGAGCUGCUAGAAGUUGUAGCGAAUAAAAUGCAGCCUGCGAUGAGCAGAUAUCUGAUGGAAGGUGCUGAGUUGAUAGACACUACAAGCAAUGCGAUGGAUCGCUUGUUGCAAUAUUUGGACACAAACAUCACGGUAUUGCAUGACAAUCUCAAUGAAGACAAUUUUGAGAGAGUUCUCUUAGUGAUUUGGGAAAUAAUGUCUGAAACUUUGUAUAAACUCGUGUACGCCAAUUUGGAAAAGCGCAGGCCUCCAUCAUUUUACUCCAAUCUAAAUCGUACUUUGCACACGUUGAUAAGGUUCUUCAAUUUAGGCGCCGAUGAGACUUCAAAUGUCAAAAUUUUGGAGAAAAUUGAACGGCUUCUCAGUCUCCAUGGGCUUGAAACUGCGGAUUUGAUCCAUCGUUAUUAUUUGGAACGGGCUCAGCAACAGAAGGAUAUUGAAGAAACUUCACAUGGUAUGCUGACUGUGCGCGCUCAGUUUAUCAGUAAUUUACUGAAUGUCCAGAUUCUUAAUGCCAGAAACUUGCGGCCUAUGGAUAGUAACGGAGAUUUGAUAGGCAAGCUGUCUACUCUUGAGCGCAAACUACAUUCAAAGAGUAAACAACCGACUAAAAGACUGAAAGAGGAAAGUGUGAUUCUUACGUCAAAAUAAGACUAUUACCGGAGGAAAAAUUCUGUGAAGUUAAGCUGCCAAAGACUCAUGUGCAGAAAGAAACGCUUUUUCCUCUUUUUGAUGAGACUGUGAACAUAGCUUUGACUCCUGAGCAGAGAAAUAUUGAAAAUGCAAUUUUGGUGUUUGAAGUCAAAGACAAAGAUUUUCUACGGACGAAAUUUAUGGCAGAAGCAUUUUUGCAGUUCAGUGAUAUUCCAGAUACUGGUCAUGAUG
RNAcentral lists this unclassified non-coding RNA (3762 nucleotides) under Cotesia glomerata. Its description in RNAcentral is "protein unc-13 homolog 4B, transcript variant X5". The record is from RNAcentral. Lineage: Eukaryota; Metazoa; Arthropoda; Insecta; Hymenoptera; Braconidae.